This 253-nucleotide ribosomal RNA is filed under the name uncultured bacterium. RNAcentral's name for it is "partial 16S ribosomal RNA". It matches the Rfam family "Bacterial small subunit ribosomal RNA", at positions 524 to 776 of the family's 1533-position model. The record is from RNAcentral.
UACGUAGGGUGCAAGCGUUAAUCGGAAUUACUGGGCGUAAAGCGUGCGCAGGCGGUUUUGUAAGUCUGAUGUGAAAUCCCCGGGCUCAACCUGGGAAUUGCAUUGGAGACUGCAAGGCUAGAAUCUGGCAGAGGGGGGUAGAAUUCCACGUGUAGCAGUGAAAUGCGUAGAGAUGUGGAGGAACACCGAUGGCGAAGGCAGCCCCCUGGGAUAACACUGACGCUCAUGCACGAAAGCGUGGGGAGCAAACAGG